UACGUAGGGUGCAGGCGUUAAUCGGAAUUACUGGGCGUAAAGCGUGCGCAGGCGGUUUCUUAAGUCAGAUGUGAAAGCCCCGGGCUUAACCUGGGAACUGCGUUUGAAACUGGGAGACUAGAGUGUGGCAGAGGGGGGUGGAAUUCCACGUGUAGCAGUGAAAUGCGUAGAUAUGUGGAGGAACACCGAUGGCGAAGGCAACCCCCUGGGUUAACACUGACGCUCAUGCACGAAAGCGUGGGGAGCAAACAGG
RNAcentral lists this ribosomal RNA (253 nucleotides) under uncultured bacterium. RNAcentral's name for it is "partial 16S ribosomal RNA". It matches the Rfam family "Bacterial small subunit ribosomal RNA", at positions 524 to 776 of the family's 1533-position model. The record is from RNAcentral.